RNAcentral lists this ribosomal RNA (351 nucleotides) under uncultured bacterium. Its description in RNAcentral is "bacterial SSU rRNA". It matches the Rfam family "Bacterial small subunit ribosomal RNA", at positions 917 to 1264 of the family's 1533-position model. The record is from RNAcentral.
GGGCUCACACAAGCGGUGGAGGAUGUGGCUUAAUUCGAGGCUACGCGAAGAACCUUACCUAGACUUAACAUGCUUAGGAACUCCUGUGAAAGCAGGAGGUGCCCUUCGGGGAGCCUUUGCAUAGGUGCUGCAUGGCUGUCGUCAGCUCGUGUCGUGAGAUGUCGGGUUAAGUCCCUUAACGAGCGAAACCCUUAUCUCUAGUUGCCAGCGGGUAGUGCCGGGGACUCUAGAGAGACUGCCGGUGUUAAACCGGAGGAAGGUGGGGAUGACGUCAAGUCCUCAUGGCCUUUAUGUGUUGGGCUACACACGUGCUACAAUGGUACUUACAAUGGGAAGCAAAGAGGCGACUCC